AGAGUUUGAUCAUGGCUCAGAAUCAACGCUGGCGGCGUGCCUCAGACAUGCAAGUCGAACGCGAAAGUCCCCUUCGGGGGGCAAGUAGAGUGGCGCACGGGUGAGUAACACGUAGGUAAUCUACCUUUGGAUGGGGAAUAACAACCGGAAACGGUUGCUAAUACCGCAUAAUGCAGCGGCACCUAAUGGUGACAGUUGUUAAAGCGGGGGAUCGAAAGACCUCGCGUCUAAAGAGGAGCCUGCGGCGGAUUAGCUAGUUGGUAAGGUAAUGGCUUACCAAGGCUACGAUCCGUAACCGGCCUGAGAGGGCGGUCGGUCACACUGACACUGACAUACGGGUCAGACUCCUACGGGAGGCAGCAGUCGGGAAUUUUGGGCAAUGGGCGAAAGCCUGACCCAGCAACGCCGCGUGAAGGAUGAAAUCCCUCGGGAUGUAAACUUCGCAAGAACGGGAAGAAUAAGUAGGGGACAAUACCCCCUAUGAUGACGGUACCGUUUGUAAGCUCCGGCUAACUCCGUGCCAGCAGCCGCGGUAAUACGGGGGGAGCAAGCGUUGUUCGGAUUUACUGGGCGUAAAGGGCGCGUAGGCGGCCAGCACAAGUCAGUUGUGAAAUCUCCGAGCUUAACUCGGAAAGGUCAACUGAAACUGUGCGGCUAGAGUGCGGAAGGGGCAACUGGAAUUCUUGGUGUAGCGGUGAAAUGCGUAGAUAUCAAGAGGAACACCUGCGGCGAAGGCGGGUUGCUGGGCCGACACUGACGCUGAUGCGCGAAAGCCAGGGGAGCGAACGGGAUUAGAUACCCUAGUAGUCC
This 810-nucleotide ribosomal RNA is filed under the name uncultured bacterium. RNAcentral describes it as "bacterial SSU rRNA". It matches the Rfam family "Bacterial small subunit ribosomal RNA", at positions 8 to 796 of the family's 1533-position model. The record is from RNAcentral.